UGGGGACUGCUGCCUGAAAAAUUUUCCGGCUACCGGAGACCUAACCCAGUACGGCGUACCGGCAGAAUUUGUCACGUCUAGCUCAUUAAAGUUUGAUGCUCGAGGCGUCGGUUGCAGAGAGUAAGCAUCUGACGACGCGUAUCCGGAAAGUCUCGGACUUGUUCCGGACCUAUACCCGAAACCCAAAUCACCACUGCAUAUUAUUAUCUCGUUGUUUGCUCCAUGAUUAUAGUGACUAUAACCACUACUAGUGUUAUUGAUAUUGUACUCGUGAAAUGGUGCAGGAGUAUUAACUGAAAAGAUUUCGGCAUUGGAGAGGUUUGAGGGUCUAGGGGUGAGGUUGAUGGACGAUGAUAGGGCAGAAUCCGGAGCCGACGAAGUUGACCGCAGGAUUCGU
This 397-nucleotide long non-coding RNA is filed under the name Jatropha curcas. RNAcentral describes it as "long non-coding RNA (JCUR_LNC000663)". The record is from RNAcentral. Lineage: Eukaryota; Viridiplantae; Streptophyta; Magnoliopsida; Malpighiales; Euphorbiaceae.